CGGCAAAUGAACAGUCCAAAAACGAGAAGCAAUAGGUGCAUGGUGCAGCCCACAGAGGUCUACCAUGGCGCCGCCACUAGUUUUCAACGUGCACAGGUGCGAACCAGAGCUGAUCAUCCCAGCCAAGCCCACCCCUCACGACUUGAAACCCUUGUCGGACAUCGACGAUCAAGAUGGUCUCCGAGUCCAACUCCCACUCAUCUAUUUCUAUCCUUACCACCCUUCAAUGCAAAUACGAGAUCCCCUUCAGGUCCUUAAACAAGCACUUGCAGAAGCUCUAGUGUUUUAUUAUCCGUUCGCCGGUAGGAUAAGGGAGUUGCCUGACCGUAAGCUCGUCGUGGAAUGUACCGGCGAGGGUAUCUUGUUCAUUGAGGCUUAUGCCGAUGUUAGUCUUGAUCAAUUCGGGGAUAUGCUUCGGCCUCCAUUUCCUUGCUUUGAGGAGCUACUCUUUGAUGUGCCUGGCACUACUGGGAUUGUGAACUGCCCUUUGUUGCUUAUUCAGGUAACGCGCCUCAAGUGCGGAGGAAUCAUCAUAGCCAUCCGUUUCAACCACACAAUGAGCGAUGCAACAGGGUUCUUACAAUUCUUGUCAGCAGUAGCAGAGAUGGCACAAGGAGCAAGGGCACCCUCAAUUUCACCAAUAUGGGAGAGACACCUUCUUACUGCUCGGAAGCCACCUCGUGUAACAUGCAUACACCAUGAGUAUGAUGAUUCAGUUAACACCGAGGACAAAAUCUCUCUUGCUGAAGUCAAGGACCAUCGUUCCUUCUUCUUUCUGCGUAAUCAAAUAUCUGUCCUUCGAAGAAGAUAUGCACCUCCUCACCUCGGUCACUGCUCUAGCUUUGAAAUAUUAGCUGCAUGUCUCUGGAGGUGCCGCACCAUUGCCCUUCAACCAAACCCUGAUGAAGAGAUGCGUAUAAUAUGUAUUGUCAAUGCUCGUAACAGCUUUAACCCUCCCAUGCCUAAGGGCUACUAUGGCAACUGCAUUGCUUACUCAGUGGCAAAAGCAAGAGCAGGAGAUCUGUCCAGGAAUCCAAUAGGGUAUGCAGUGGAAUUGGUAAGGAAGGCCAAGGAAAAUGUUACUGAAGAGUACAUGAGAUCAGUGGCAGAUCUAAUGGUCCUCAAGGGUAGGCCUCGGUAUACAAUGGUGAAUUCCUUCCUAGUUUCAGGUGUGGCACGAGUCAGGUUUGAUGAGGUUGAUUUCGGAUGGGGUAGAGCAGUGUAUGGUGGACCUGCUAAGGGAUAUGUGGCUAGCUUUCACAUAGCAUCUAGAAAUGAGAAAGGUGAAGAUGGGAUUGUUGUUACUUUAUGUUUGCCGAACCUUGCCAUGGAAAGAUUUGUGAAGGAAUUGGAUCACUUGUUGAGGGACCAUCCCCUCCUAUGUGCCUUGUGAGGAAAGCGACCCUACUACUGUCUGAAAUGUACUAUACAAUGUGAACCAUUGAUCUGGGUUCACACUUUACACUACAAUUUUUUUUUUUUUUUAAUGUGAGAAGGAAAUAAUAAUGACCAUAUCUACAUACUGCAAUGUACUUCACUGUUGUAUCUUCUCACCCUUUUUAAUUUUUUAAAUUUUAGUUUUGUAAGGACCAUUAUAAAUUAGUGGUUUUUUAUAAAAUAAAUUAAUAAAAAUUAUCUACCCAAAAUAUAAUUUGAAUAGGUAAGAUCCAGUCAUAAUAGAUCAGAUGUAUUUUCCAUCCUUUAGAGUCCCUACCUCAUCUAUUCACCACGCGGUAA
This 1737-nucleotide unclassified non-coding RNA is filed under the name Hevea brasiliensis (rubber tree). Lineage: Eukaryota; Viridiplantae; Streptophyta; Magnoliopsida; Malpighiales; Euphorbiaceae. The record is from RNAcentral.